AUAUAACAGGAGCGUGUGCAUUUGGCGCGUGUUAUUCGCACACACACACAUAUUUAUAUAUGUAUAUACACACACACAUGAGCAACGUCCCAUGAGAGAAAGGCAAGCUGCUGGUGGUGUGGUAAACAAAAAAAUACAAAAUGUGCAUGGGGAAAACGAUAUCAACAAUAACAACGACAAUGGCAUGGAAUUAAUGAAGGAAAAAACAUAACAAAAUAGCGGCAGAGCUGUCGAACUUACCAACGCAACCGCCGCCGACUGCUCCCCACUGAGAGCAAACCAUUUUUCUCGCAAAUAUCAAACAAAAGCAACAAAACAAAAACAAUAACAACAAUUAGGUAAUGUUUUUACGCCAUUCUCUUUUGCGUCGUCGUUUCGUUCAGUUGCGAGAGUUUCGAUACGCGAGAGCGAGAGAGCAACGCGCGCGCUCAUUUCAAUGCCGCUGAUGUUUUUUUUUUCUUAUGUUUUCUUCUUUUUUUUGUUUGACUUUUGUUUUGAAACAGUUUUUACAUGGAAAGUUUUUGUGUGUUUUAGAGAGGAAAAUUUUGGUGCUUGUAAUGUUCUGAUUAGAAUGUUGACCAAACCAUAUAUACACAUACUUCUUACACAUACUUAAACAUUUAGUCUAAAUUCGAUUUGUUGGGCCAUUGCAUUUGAAAUUGCCGAAAAAAUGUAAAUGCCACACGCAAACAAGUUUUUGUAAAAAGCUACAAAAGGAGGAGUGUAAAAAUUAAUUGAUGUGCGUGUGCAAACAAAAAAAUAAAAAUUAAAAAAAAAAAAAUAAAAAACUAAUAAAUCUAAACAAACGAUUGUAACAAAUUGAUCAAAAAAAAAAAAGGAAACAAAUUAUAGUCUAGUUACCAUGUUGCAUAAAAUUGAUGAAAAUGCCGCGCCAACUGUAACGUCAACACCAACAACAACAACAACUGCAACAACAAGUACAACAAUUAUGGCCCCGGCAGAAACAACUGG
RNAcentral lists this small RNA (972 nucleotides) under Drosophila virilis. RNAcentral describes it as "GJ26868". Lineage: Eukaryota; Metazoa; Arthropoda; Insecta; Diptera; Drosophilidae. The record is from RNAcentral.